UACAGAGGUGGCAAGCGUUGUUCGGAAUUACUGGGCGUAAAGGGCGCGUAGGUGGCCUUUUGAGUCAGACGUGAAAUCCCCCGGCUUAACCUGGGAACUGCGUCUGAUACUGGAAGGCUUGAGUUCGGGAGAGGGAUGUGGAAUUCCAGGUGUAGCGGUGAAAUGCGUAGAUAUCUGGAGGAACACCGGUGGCGAAGGCGGCAUCCUGGACCGACACUGACGCUGAGGAGCGAAAGCCAGGGGAGCAAACGGG
Molecule: ribosomal RNA, 253 nt
Filed under: uncultured bacterium
Lineage: Bacteria
Description: partial 16S ribosomal RNA
Rfam family: Bacterial small subunit ribosomal RNA
Source: RNAcentral